RNAcentral lists this small nuclear RNA (162 nucleotides) under Echinops telfairi (small Madagascar hedgehog). Its description in RNAcentral is "U1 spliceosomal RNA (ENSETEG00000021563.1)". It matches the Rfam family "U1 spliceosomal RNA". From Rfam's summary of the family: U1 is a small nuclear RNA (snRNA) component of the spliceosome (involved in pre-mRNA splicing). Its 5' end forms complementary base pairs with the 5' splice junction, thus defining the 5' donor site of an intron. There are significant differences in sequence and secondary structure between metazoan and yeast U1 snRNAs, the latter being much longer (568 nucleotides as compared to 164 nucleotides in human). Lineage: Eukaryota; Metazoa; Chordata; Mammalia; Afrosoricida; Tenrecidae. The record is from RNAcentral.
AUACUUACCUGGCAGGGGAGGUACCAUGAUCACGAAGGUGGUUUUCCCAGAGCGAGACUUAUCCAUUGCACUCCAGAUGUUGACCCCUGCGAUUUCCCCAAAUGUGGGAAACUCGACUGCAUAAUUUGUGGUAGUGGGGGACUGCGUUCACACUCCCCCCUG